UCCCGGGUCGUCUAAUGGCAGGACGGCAGGUUUUGGUCCUGUUAGUCGGGGUUCGAAUCCCUGCCCGGGAG
Molecule: transfer RNA, 71 nt
Filed under: Berkelbacteria bacterium GW2011_GWE1_39_12
Lineage: Bacteria; Candidatus Berkelbacteria
Description: tRNA-Gln
Rfam family: tRNA
About the family: Transfer RNA (tRNA) molecules are approximately 80 nucleotides in length. Their secondary structure includes four short double-helical elements and three loops (D, anti-codon, and T loops).
Source: RNAcentral